This 742-nucleotide ribosomal RNA is filed under the name uncultured bacterium. RNAcentral describes it as "bacterial SSU rRNA". It matches the Rfam family "Bacterial small subunit ribosomal RNA", at positions 76 to 814 of the family's 1533-position model. The record is from RNAcentral.
CUUGCUAGAUUGAUGGCGAGUGGCGAACGGGUGAGUAAUACAUCGGAACGUGCCCUGUAGUGGGGGAUAACUAGUCGAAAGAUUAGCUAAUACCGCAUACGACCUGAGGGUGAAAGUGGGGGACCGCAAGGCCUCAUGCUAUAGGAGCGGCCGAUGUCUGAUUAGCUAGUUGGUGGGGUAAAGGCCCACCAAGGCGACGAUCAGUAGCUGGUCUGAGAGGACGAUCAGCCACACUGGGACUGAGACACGGCCCAGACUCCUACGGGAGGCAGCAGUGGGGAAUUUUGGACAAUGGGCGAAAGCCUGAUCCAGCAAUGCCGCGUGUGUGAAGAAGGCCUUCGGGUUGUAAAGCACUUUUGUCCGGAAAGAAAUGGCUCUGGUUAAUACCUGGGGUCGAUGACGGUACCGGAAGAAUAAGGACCGGCUAACUACGUGCCAGCAGCCGCGGUAAUACGUAGGGUCCAAGCGUUAAUCGGAAUUACUGGGCGUAAAGCGUGCGCAGGCGGUUGUGCAAGACCGAUGUGAAAUCCCCGAGCUUAACUUGGGAAUUGCAUUGGUGACUGCACGGCUAGAGUGUGUCAGAGGGGGGUAGAAUUCCACGUGUAGCAGUGAAAUGCGUAGAGAUGUGGAGGAAUACCGAUGGCGAAGGCAGCCCCCUGGGAUAACACUGACGCUCAUGCACGAAAGCGUGGGGAGCAAACAGGAUUAGAUACCCUGGUAGUCCACGCCCUAAACGAUGUCA